GAUGAACGCUGGCGGCAGGCCUAACACAUGCAAGUCGAACGGUAGCACAGAGAGCUUGCUCUCGGGUGACGAGUGGCGGACGGGUGAGUAAUGUCUGGGAAACUGCCCGAUGGAGGGGGAUAACUACUGGAAACGGUAGCUAAUACCGCAUAACGUCGCAAGACCAAAGUGGGGGACCUUCGGGCCUCACACCAUCGGAUGUGCCAAGAUGGGAUUAGCUAGUAGGUGGGGUAAUGGCUCACCUAGGCGACGAUCCCUAGCUGGUCUGAGAGGAUGACCAGCCACACUGGAACUGAGACACGGUCCAGACUCCUACGGGAGGCAGCAGUGGGGAAUAUUGCACAAUGGGCGCAAGCCUGAUGCAGCCAUGCCGCGUGUAUGAAGAAGGCCUUCGGGUUGUAAAGUACUUUCAGCGGGGAGGAAGGCGGUGAAGUUAAUAACUUCACCGAUUGACGUUACCCGCAGAAGAAGCACCGGCUAACUCCGUGCCAGCAGCCGCAGUAA
RNAcentral lists this ribosomal RNA (504 nucleotides) under uncultured bacterium. RNAcentral describes it as "partial 16S ribosomal RNA". It matches the Rfam family "Bacterial small subunit ribosomal RNA", at positions 28 to 523 of the family's 1533-position model. The record is from RNAcentral.